GGUCUGACCUGCCCGGUGAGGUGAGCUUAAACGGUCGCAGUUUUACUGUGCUAAGGUAGCAUAAUAGUUCGUCCUUUAAUUGGGGAAGAGUAUGAAUGGUUGAAUGAUGGAAAUACUUUAUUGUGGGCGUAUUUUGAAAUUUACUUCUAGGUGCAAAGGCUUAGAUAUAUUUAUUAGACGAGAAGACCCUGUUGAGCUUGGUAGAUCUUUGCGCUACUGUGUAGAGUAGUAUGUUUUUUCGGGGUCGAGAGGAAGGGAUAAAAUUCCUUCUUGGUAGUUGAAGAUCCAGCAUGGCUGAUAAGAAGAAGAUAGUUACCACAGGGAUAACAGCGCAAUCUUUCUGGCAAGGUCAUAUUUGAAGGGAGGUUUGCGACCUCGAUGUUGAAUCAGAAUCCCUACCAGGUGUAGCAGCUUGGUAAGUAAGACUGUUCGUCUUUUGAAAUUCUAC
This 448-nucleotide ribosomal RNA is filed under the name Tellina sp. IK-2015. RNAcentral describes it as "partial 16S ribosomal RNA". It matches the Rfam family "Bacterial large subunit ribosomal RNA", at positions 1849 to 2599 of the family's 2925-position model. Lineage: Eukaryota; Metazoa; Mollusca; Bivalvia; Cardiida; Tellinidae. The record is from RNAcentral.